AGGGAACAAGUAAAGUAAGUACUGCAAGUAAAGUAACACAGGGAACAAGUAAAGUAAGUACUGCAAGUAAAGUAAGUACUGCAAGUAAAGUAACAGGGAACAAGUAAAGUAACACAGGGAACAAAAAAGAAAGUAAUGCAAGUAACACAGGGAACAAGUAAAGAAAGUAAUGCAAGUAAAGUAACACAGGGAACAAGUAAAGAAAGUAAUGCAAGUAAAGUAACACAGGGAACAAUAAAAGAAAGUAAUGCAAGUAAAGAAAGUAAUGCAAGUAAAGUAACACAGGGAACAAGAAAAGUAAGUACUGCAAGUAAAGUAACAGGGAACAAGUAAAGAAAGUAAUGCAAGUAAAGUAACAAGGAACAAGUAAAGAAAGUAAUGCAAGUAAAGAAAGUAAUGCAAGUAAAGUAACACAGGGAACAAGUAAAGAAAGUAAUGCAAGUAAAGUAACACAGGGAACAAGUAAAGAAAGUAAUGCAAGUAAAGUAACACAGGGAACAAGUAAAGAAAGUAAUGCAAGUAAAGUAACAGGGAACAAGUAAAGUAACAGGGAACAAGUAAAGAAACUACUGCAAGUAAAGUAACAGGGAACAAGUAAAGUAACACAGGGAACAAGAAAAGUAAGUACUGCAAGUAAAGUAACAGGGAACAAGUAAAGAAAGUAAUGCAAGUAAAGUAACAAGGAACAAGUAAAGAAAGUAAUGCAAGUAAAGAAAGUAAUGCAAGUAAAGUAACACAGGGAACAAGUAAAGUAAGUACUGCAAGUAAAGUAACAGGGAACAAGUAAAGUAACACAGGGAACAAAAAGAAAGUAAUGCAAGUAACACAGGGAACAAGUAAAGUAACGGAACAAGUAAAGAAAGUAAUGCAAGUAAAAGUAACACAGGGAACAAGUAAAGAAAGUAAUGCAAGUAAAGUAACAGGGAAUAAGUAAUGCAAGUAAAGUAACGGAACAAGUAAAGAAAGUAAUGCAAGUAAAGUAACAGAACAAGUAAAGAAAGUAAUGCAAGUAAAGUAACACAGGGAACAAGUAAAGAAAGUAAUGCAAGUAAAGUAACAGGGAACAAGUAAAGUAACAGGGAACAAGUAAAGUAACACAGGGAACAAGAAAAGUAAGUAAUGCAAGUAAAGUAACAAGGAACAAGUAAAGAAAGUAAUGCAAGUAAAGAAAGUAAUGCAAGUAAAGUAACACAGGGAACAAGUAAAGUAAGUACUGCAAGUAAAGUAACACAGGGAACAAGUAAAGUAAGUACUGCAAGUAAAGUAAGUACUGCAAGUAAAGUAACAGGGAACAAGUAAAAAAGUAAUGCAAGUAAAGUAACACAGGGAACAAGUAAAGAAAGUAAUGCAAGUAAAGUAACAAGGAAUAAGUAAUGCAAGUAAAGUAACGGAACAAGUAAAGAAAGUAAUGCAAGUAAAGUAACACAGGGAACAAGUAAAGAAAGUACUGCAAGUAAAGUAACACAGGGAACAAGUAAAGAAAGUACUGCAAGUAAAGUAACAGAACAAGUAAAGAAAGUACUGC
Ictalurus punctatus (channel catfish) is the source of this 1525-nucleotide long non-coding RNA. Lineage: Eukaryota; Metazoa; Chordata; Actinopteri; Siluriformes; Ictaluridae. The record is from Ensembl.